RNAcentral lists this ribosomal RNA (933 nucleotides) under Syntrophaceae bacterium enrichment culture clone L35B_65. Its description in RNAcentral is "bacterial SSU rRNA". It matches the Rfam family "Bacterial small subunit ribosomal RNA", at positions 8 to 916 of the family's 1533-position model. The record is from RNAcentral. Lineage: Bacteria; Pseudomonadati; Thermodesulfobacteriota; Syntrophia; Syntrophales; Syntrophaceae.
AGAGUUUGAUCAUGGCUCAGAACAAACGCUGGCGGCGUGCUUAACACAUGCAAGUCGUACGAGAAAGUCCGCUUCGGCGGAUGAGUAAAGUGGCGCACGGGUGCGUAACACGUGGGUAAUCUGCCCUUCAGUGGGGAAUAACUCGCCGAAAGGCGGGCUAAUACCGCAUAAUACCGUUUCCACCCCGGUGGGACGGUCAAAGACAGCCUCUGUUUACAAGCUGUCGCUGAAGGAUGAGCCCGCGGCCUAUCAGCUAGUUGGUGGGGUAAUGGCUCACCAAGGCUGUGACGGGUAGCUGGUCUGAGAGGAUGGCCAGCCACACUGGAACUGAGACACGGUCCAGACUCCUACGGGAGGCAGCAGUGGGGAAUCUUGGGCAACGGGGGCAACCCUGACCCAGCGACGCCGCGUGGGUGAGGAAGGUCUUCGGAUCGUAAAGCUCUGUCGGAUGGGAAGAAAUGUGUGGAAGUGAACAGCUUCCAUGCUUGACGGUACCAUCAGAGGAAGCACCGGCUAACUCCGUGCCAGCAGCCGCGGUAAUACGGGGGGUGCAAGCGUUGUUCGGAAUCAUUGGGCGUAAAGGGCGUGUAGGCGGCUGGAUAAGUCAGAUGUGAAAUCCCUGGGCUUAACCCAGGAAGUGCAUUUGAAACUGUCCGGCUUGAGUGAGGGAGAGGAAAGUGGAAUUCCUGGUGUAGAGGUGAAAUUCGUAGAUAUCAGGAGGAACACCGGUGGCGAAGGCGACUUUCUGGCCCUAUACUGACGCUGAGACGCGAAAGCGUGGGGAGCAAACAGGAUUAGAUACCCUGUAGUCCACGCUGUAAACGAUGUUCACUAGGUGUUGGGGGUAUUGACCCCCUCAGUGCCGUAGCUAACGCAUUAAGUGAACCGCCUGGGGAGUACGGUCGCAAGACUAAAACUCAAAUGAAUUGACGG